RNAcentral lists this transfer RNA (85 nucleotides) under Pseudomonas syringae pv. syringae. Its description in RNAcentral is "tRNA-Val". The record is from RNAcentral. Lineage: Bacteria; Pseudomonadati; Pseudomonadota; Gammaproteobacteria; Pseudomonadales; Pseudomonadaceae.
GGGUGAUUAGCUCAGCUGGGAGAGCAGCUGCCUUACAAGCAGCGGGUUGUAUCCAACCUUCGGGGGUCAUACCACUGUUCAUGGA